CAAUGGGUGCACACUGUCGCGGAGGGAUGGGCCUCGCCUCUCACUGGCUUUAUGCGUCAGAACGAGUAUCUGCAAUCUUUGCAUUUCAACUGCCUUCGCCUGGCUGACGGCACCUUCACCAACAUGUCCCUCCCCAUUGUCUUGGCCAUCGACGACGAGAAGAAGGAGAGCUUGUCUGGUGUCAACGCUGUCACUCUUGUUGGUCCAGAUGGCAACGAC
This 219-nucleotide long non-coding RNA is filed under the name Physcomitrium patens. Its description in RNAcentral is "long non-coding RNA (PPAT_LNC013186)". The record is from RNAcentral. Lineage: Eukaryota; Viridiplantae; Streptophyta; Bryopsida; Funariales; Funariaceae.